GUGCUUGCUUCGGCAGCACAUAUACUAAAAUUGAAAUGAUACAGAGAAGAUUAGCAUAGUCCCUGAGCAAGGAUGACAUGCAAAUAAAAAUUUAA
Small nuclear RNA from Cercocebus atys (sooty mangabey), 95 nucleotides. The record is from Ensembl. Lineage: Eukaryota; Metazoa; Chordata; Mammalia; Primates; Cercopithecidae.